GCACUUUCAGUCGUGAGGAAGGUAGUGUAGUUAAUAGCUGCAUUAUUUGACGUUAGCGACAGAAGAAGCACCGGCUAACUCCGUGCCAGCAGCCGCGGUAAUACGGAGGGUGCGAGCGUUAAUCGGAAUUACUGGGCGUAAAGCGCAUGCAGGUGGUUUGUUUAAGUUCAGAUGUGAAAGACCCGGGGCGUCAACCUCGGAAUAGCAUUUGAAACUAGGCAGACUAGAGUACUGUAGAGGGGGGUAGGAAGUUUCAGGUGUAGCGGUGAAAUAGCGUAGAGAUCUGAAGGAAUACCGGUGGCGAAGGCGGCCCCCUCGGACAGAUACUGACACUCAGAUGCGAAAGCGUGGGGAGCAAACAGGAUUAGAUACCCUGGUAG
Molecule: ribosomal RNA, 380 nt
Filed under: uncultured bacterium
Lineage: Bacteria
Description: bacterial SSU rRNA
Rfam family: Bacterial small subunit ribosomal RNA
Source: RNAcentral